RNAcentral lists this microRNA precursor (151 nucleotides) under Gossypium raimondii (Peruvian cotton). RNAcentral's name for it is "miR8696 stem-loop (gra-MIR8696)". Lineage: Eukaryota; Viridiplantae; Streptophyta; Magnoliopsida; Malvales; Malvaceae. The record is from miRBase by way of RNAcentral.
GCCUAAACUAGGCAACUGUUCCCACAUUGGGACUUGAACCUUUUUUUUGUCUAAAUUAGUCCUUAAACUUGACAAUUGUUUCCAUGAUGGGGCCUAACUUGGACUAUAAAAAAAUUUAGGCUCUAAUGUGGGAACGACUGCCAAGUUUAGG